RNAcentral lists this ribosomal RNA (489 nucleotides) under Triticum aestivum (bread wheat). RNAcentral describes it as "partial small subunit ribosomal RNA". Lineage: Eukaryota; Viridiplantae; Streptophyta; Magnoliopsida; Poales; Poaceae. The record is from RNAcentral.
AUGCCUAGCUGUGCAACGAUGCCGAUCCGGUGGGCUGGAGCGUCACCAUGCCGUCCACGCCAACCCUGCGGCACGUUUGGCGGACCAGCUCAGUUCCCCGAUCCAAGGAGCGGAUCGGCGAGCUGGUCGCCCUCGCCAUCAGCGAAGGACCACCAGAUCGGGGGUGCGGCCGGACCGGCGCAGGAUCUUGUGCCGGGUCUUCCACCCGCGACCGUCGACGAGCUCCAUCAGGUCAUCCAACGGCGUGGCGAACGCCUCGGCUGUUUCGUCACUCGCUUCCAAAGCACUGCGGAGCGCGUACCAAGGCUGAGAGACGGCAUGCUCAUCACCGCCUUCGAAGCCAACGUGCGCCAUCCACAACUCCGAGACUUCCUCCGAUCGAGGAUCGUCCACAGCAUAGAUGAGCUAUGGAGUAUCGCCCCAGCCUACGUCGUCGACACCGACGAAUCAGGGCCCCCCACCGGUGGAGGUCGCAGAAGUGUGAUCUGA